Long non-coding RNA from Populus trichocarpa (black cottonwood), 269 nucleotides. RefSeq lists it as uncharacterized. Lineage: Eukaryota; Viridiplantae; Streptophyta; Magnoliopsida; Malpighiales; Salicaceae. The transcript is spliced from 3 exons. The record is from RefSeq and is a predicted model, not a curated record.
ACGGGAUCUCAGGUUAGCCCAACCACACAGGAUAUUGGUUCUGGUUAAAGGGGAUCGCCGGACGGGAUCUCAGGUUAGCCCAACCACACACAGGAUAUUGGUUCUGGUUAAAGGGGAUCGCCGGACGGGAUCUCAGGUUAGCCCAACCACACAGGAUAUUGGUUCUGGUUAAAGGGGAUUGUCGGACGGGAUCUCAGGUUAGCCCAACCACGCAGAUUUUGGUUUUGGUUCAAGGAGAUCGCCUGAUGGGAUCUCAGGUUAAAAAAAAA